AUGACGAGCUACUUCAGAGGGCAGCGGCAGGAGCCUUCUUCUGAUGAUCCCCGGCCCGGUUACCGGAGGGACAGGGGCGGCCGCAAGCGCCUGACGGCGCAGAAGAGGAAGGAGAUCAAGGAGGCCUUCGAUCUCUUCGACACCGACGGCUCCGGCACCAUCGAUGCAAGGGAGCUCAACGUCGCAAUGAGAGCGCUGGGGUUUGAGAUGACGCCGGAGCAGAUCCAGCAGAUGAUCGCGGAGGUGGACAAGGACGGCAGCGGGACCAUCGACCUGGACGAGUUCAUACACAUGAUGACGGACAAGAUGGGCGAGAGGGACGCCAGGGACGAGCUCCACAAGGCCUUCCGGAUCAUCGACCAGGACGCCAACGGGAAGAUAUCGGAUAUGGACAUCCAGCGGCUGGCCAUCGAGGCCGGCGAGCACUUCACGCUCGACGAGGUCAGAGAGAUGAUCCAGGCCGCCGACGAAAACGGUGACGGCGAGGUCGACAUGGAGGAGUUCAUGAAGAUGAUGAAGCGGACGGGCUUCGGCGCCGGAUUCUAG
This 546-nucleotide ribosomal RNA is filed under the name Triticum aestivum (bread wheat). RNAcentral's name for it is "partial small subunit ribosomal RNA". Lineage: Eukaryota; Viridiplantae; Streptophyta; Magnoliopsida; Poales; Poaceae. The record is from RNAcentral.